Long non-coding RNA from Oncorhynchus kisutch (coho salmon), 645 nucleotides. RefSeq lists it as uncharacterized. The record is from RefSeq and is a predicted model, not a curated record. NCBI's taxonomy places the organism in Eukaryota, Metazoa, Chordata, Actinopteri, Salmoniformes, Salmonidae. The transcript has 3 exons.
AGUUAUCAGCUGGCUAGGAAUCUUACUGACAAUUUAGUGAUGCUAGCUAGCUAAAAGCAUGGUGACAACAUUGAAAUUUCCAUGUUAGGUGUGCUAAGGUAGCCAGUCAAAUAGAGAUCAAUUGGUUAAAUUGUGUAUUUUGUUGUAGGUGGUACAGAAUCUGAGUCCACCAGCAUGUGCUUCCAACCCCUAGCUCUGCACAAGGUGAAGAAAUACACAAGCAUGAGCGAGCGGACACACCUUGUAGUUGUGGGUCAGAAACCAGCAAGGGACACUGAAAGCAAAUCUUCUGAAAGAGCUUAAGGAAGUUGGUGGUUAAGAAGGUCUACGAGCCCUGCACUCACCACUUCCUUCAGAGUCUUAUCCAGCUGGCCGGUACACCGCAGACAGGACAAGACCAUUCGCCACAAGCACAAAGAGUCUCAGCUUCCCCUGCCCACCAUACCAAACACCAUUGCCAGUCUACCGAAGCCAGAUAAAGGACAGUGUGGCUGAACAUAAGACCAAUGCAGAACCACCUUAAAAUAUAUAGGGAUAUUUUCUAUCAAACUUCUACAUUUGUCUCCCUUUAUGUACCCACAGAAGAUAUGCAAGUAUGCUGUACAAGGCUCUGUAGCAUCAAACAGAUGUUAGAAAUUCAGAUAU